RNAcentral lists this ribosomal RNA (393 nucleotides) under uncultured Spumella. RNAcentral describes it as "partial small subunit ribosomal RNA". It matches the Rfam family "Eukaryotic small subunit ribosomal RNA", at positions 30 to 432 of the family's 1831-position model. The record is from RNAcentral. Lineage: Eukaryota; Synurophyceae; Ochromonadales; Ochromonadaceae.
GCUUGUCUCAAAGAUUAAGCCAUGCAUGUCUAAGUAUAAAUAAAUCUAUACGUGAAACUGCGAAUGGCUCAUUAUAUCAGUUAUAGUUUAUUUGAUGGUUCUUGCUACUUGGAUAACCGUAGUAAUUCUAGAGCUAAUACAUGCGUCAAACCCCGACUUCUGGGAGGGGUGUAUUUAUUAGAUGGAAACCAAUGCGGGGCAACCCGGUAUAUGGUGAUUCAUAAUAACUUUCGGAUCGAUCUUCGGAUCGAUGCAUCAUUCAAGUUUCUGCCCUAUCAGCUUUGGAUGGUAGGGUAUUGGCCUACCAUGGCUUUAACGGGUAACGGAGAAUUAGGGUUCGAUUCCGGAGAGGGAGCCUGAGAAAUGGCUACCACAUCCAAGGAAGGCAGCAGG